RNAcentral lists this ribosomal RNA (310 nucleotides) under uncultured eukaryote. Its description in RNAcentral is "partial 18S ribosomal RNA". It matches the Rfam family "Eukaryotic small subunit ribosomal RNA", at positions 1470 to 1796 of the family's 1831-position model. The record is from RNAcentral.
CCCUUAGAUGUUCUGGGCUGCACGCGUGCUACACUGAUUAUUUCAACAAGUGUUUUAACUGGAGAGUUUGCGUAAUCCUGAAAUGUUAUCGUGAUGGGAGUAGAGUAUUGUAUUUGUUAAUCUUUAACGAGGAAUUCCUAGUAAGUGUAGGUUUAUAAGUUGUUCUGAUUACGUCCCUGCCCUUUGUACACACCGCCCGUCGCUCCUACCGAUUGAUUGAUCCGGUGAAUUACAUAGAAUUUUGCGUUUUACAUGACGGAAGACGAUGUGUUUUAAACCUUAUCAUUUAGAGGAAGGAGAAGUCGUAACA